CCUACGGGUGGCAGCAGUGGGGGAUAUUGCACAAUGGGGGAAACCCUGAUGCAGCGACGCCGCGUGGGUGAAGAAGCGCCUCGGCGCGUAAAGCCCUGUCAGCAGGGAAGAAAAUGACGGUACCUGAAGAAGAAGCCACGGCUAACUACGUGCCAGCAGCCGCGGUAAUACGUAGGGGGCAAGCGUUAUCCGGAUUUACUGGGUGUAAAGGGGGCGCAGACGGCGAUGCAAGCCAGGAGUGAAAGCCCGGGGCCCAACCCCGGGACCGCGCUUGGAACUGCGUGGCUAGAGUGCAGGAGGGGCAGGCGGGAUUCCUGGUGUAGCGGUGAAAUGCGUAGAUAGCAGGAGGAACACCGGUGGCGAAGGCGGCCUGCUGGACUGCAACUGACGUUGAGGCCCGAAAGCGUGGGGAGCAAACAGGAUUAGAGACCCGGGUAGUC
Molecule: ribosomal RNA, 440 nt
Filed under: uncultured bacterium
Lineage: Bacteria
Description: partial 16S ribosomal RNA
Rfam family: Bacterial small subunit ribosomal RNA
Source: RNAcentral